AAAUUGAAGAGUUUGAUCAUGGCUCAGAUUGAACGCUGGCGGCAGGCCUAACACAUGCAAGUCGAACGGUAACAGGAAGAAUUGCUUCUUUGCUGACGAGUGGCGGACGGGUGAGUAAUGUCUGGGAAACUGCCUGAUGGAGGGGGAUAACUACUGGAAACGGUAGCUAAUACCGCAUAACGUCGCAAGACCAAAGAGGGGGACCUUCGGGCCUCUUGCCAUCGGAUGUGCCCAGAUGGGAUUAGCUAGUAGGUGGGGUAACGGCUCACCUAGGCGACGAUCCCUAGCUGGUCUGAGAGGAUGACCAGCCACACUGGAACUGAGACACGGUCCAGACUCCUACGGGAGGCAGCAGUGGGGAAUAUUGCACAAUGGGCGCAAGCCUGAUGCAGCCAUGCCGCGUGUAUGAAGAAGGCCUUCGGGUUGUAAAGUACUUUCAGCGGGGAGGAAGGGAGUAAAGUUAAUACCUUUACUCAUUGACGUUACCC
This 488-nucleotide ribosomal RNA is filed under the name Escherichia coli. RNAcentral describes it as "bacterial SSU rRNA". It matches the Rfam family "Bacterial small subunit ribosomal RNA", at positions 1 to 480 of the family's 1533-position model. The record is from RNAcentral. Lineage: Bacteria; Pseudomonadati; Pseudomonadota; Gammaproteobacteria; Enterobacterales; Enterobacteriaceae.